AGAGUUUCGAUCCGUCGGCGUCAGGACGAACGCUGGCGGCGUGCUUAACACAUGCAAGUCGAACGGUGAAGCCCUUCGGGGUGGAGUCAGUGGCGAACGGGUGAGUAACACGUGAGCAACCUGCCCCUGGCUCUGGGACAACCACUGGAAACGGUGGCUAAUACCGGAUACGACCUGCCUCGGCAUCGAGUGUGGGUGGAAAGUUUUUCGGCUGGGGAUGGGCUCGCGGCCUAUCAGCUUGUUGGUGGGGUAAUGGCCUACCAAGGCGACGACGGGUAGCCGGCCUGAGAGGGCGACCGGCCACACUGGGACUGAGACACGGCCCAGACUCCUACGGGAGGCAGCAGUGGGGAAUAUUGCACAAUGGGCGAAAGCCUGAUGCAGCGACGCCGCGUGGGGGAUGACGGCCUUCGGGUUGUAAACCUCUUUCAGCUCCGAAGAAGCGAAAGUGACGGUAGGAGCAGAAGAAGCACCGGCUAACUACGUG
This 487-nucleotide ribosomal RNA is filed under the name uncultured Kineococcus sp. RNAcentral's name for it is "bacterial SSU rRNA". It matches the Rfam family "Bacterial small subunit ribosomal RNA", at positions 1 to 507 of the family's 1533-position model. The record is from RNAcentral. Lineage: Bacteria; Bacillati; Actinomycetota; Actinomycetes; Kineosporiales; Kineosporiaceae.